AUACGUAGGUGGCGAGCGUUGUCCGGAAUUACUGGGUGUAAAGGGCGUGUAGGCGGGGAGACAAGUCAGAUGUGAAAUACCGAGGCUUAACUUCGGGGCUGCAUCUGAAACUGUUUUUCUUGAGUGUCGGAGAGGAAAGCGGAAUUCCUAGUGUAGCGGUGAAAUGCGUAGAUAUUAGGAGGAACACCAGUGGCGAAGGCGGCUUUCUGGACGACAACUGACGCUGAGGCGCGAAAGCGUGGGGAGCAAACAGGAUUAGAUACCCUGGUAGUCCACGCCGUAAACGAUGGAUACUAGGUGUAGGAGGUAUCGACCCCUUCUGUGCCGGAGUUAACACAAUAAGUAUCCCACCUGGGGAGUACGGCCGCAAGGUUGAAACUCAAAUGAAUCGGCGGGG
This 397-nucleotide ribosomal RNA is filed under the name uncultured bacterium. RNAcentral's name for it is "partial 16S ribosomal RNA". It matches the Rfam family "Bacterial small subunit ribosomal RNA", at positions 523 to 918 of the family's 1533-position model. The record is from RNAcentral.